CCUACGGGGCGCAGCAGUGAGGAAUAUUGGUCAAUGGGCUUACGCCUGAACCAGCCAAGUCGCGUGAGGGAAGACUGCCCUAUGGGUUGUAAACCUCUUUUGUCGGAGAACAAAACCCGGGACGUGUCCCGGACUGCGUGUAUCCGAAGAAAAAGCAUCGGCUAACUCCGUGCCAGCAGCCGCGGUAAUACGUAGGGGGCAAGCGUUAUCCGGAAUCACUGGGUGUAAAGGGAGCGUAGACGGCUGUGCAAGCCUGAAGUGAAAGGCGGGGGCCCAACCCCUGGACUGCUUUGGGAACUGUACGG
RNAcentral lists this ribosomal RNA (305 nucleotides) under uncultured bacterium. RNAcentral describes it as "bacterial SSU rRNA". It matches the Rfam family "Bacterial small subunit ribosomal RNA", at positions 338 to 640 of the family's 1533-position model. The record is from RNAcentral.